UAGAUACUCCCUCCGUUCCAAAAUUCUUGUCUUACGUUUAUCUAGAAAUGAAUGUAUCUAAAUACUAAAACGUGACUAGAUACAUUGAUAUCUACAAAUCUAAAACAAGAAUUUUGGAAUGGAGGUAGUACAAC
Hordeum vulgare subsp. vulgare (domesticated barley) is the source of this 134-nucleotide non-coding RNA. NCBI's taxonomy places the organism in Eukaryota, Viridiplantae, Streptophyta, Magnoliopsida, Poales, Poaceae. The record is from Rfam.